RNAcentral lists this transfer-messenger RNA (242 nucleotides) under Gammaproteobacteria bacterium. RNAcentral describes it as "partial transfer-messenger RNA". It matches the Rfam family "transfer-messenger RNA", at positions 125 to 374 of the family's 374-position model. Rfam says of the family: Bacterial tmRNA, also known as 10Sa RNA or SsrA, is named for its dual tRNA and mRNA-like properties. Its role is to liberate the mRNA from a stalled ribosome. To accomplish this part of the tmRNA is used as a reading frame that ends in a translation stop signal. The record is from RNAcentral. Lineage: Bacteria; Pseudomonadati; Pseudomonadota; Gammaproteobacteria.
UUAAUACCCAGUAGGGUGCCGUCUGACCGGAACUGUGCCUGUACAGUCUGGAUUCAGGCGUCGACUCUUACAGGAUCGCGAUGAAAUUUGUUCUGGGUGGAUUCGCUAAACUCUUACAGAACUCGCCGCCUGUUUUCCCUGUUCGUCGGGUAGCUUGCGGUUAAACUAAUUGACGAAAUAAGCAUGUAGAUCUGAAGGCGGAGGAUUUGCGGACGCGGGUUCGAUUCCCGCCGCCUCCACCA